This is a non-coding RNA of Oryza glumipatula, 208 nucleotides long. The record is from Rfam. NCBI's taxonomy places the organism in Eukaryota, Viridiplantae, Streptophyta, Magnoliopsida, Poales, Poaceae.
AAUAAGUGUAGUUUUGCACUAUUCACGUUUAACGUUUGGCCGUUCGUCUUAUUUAAAAUUUUUUUAUGAUUAGUAUUUUUAUUGCUAUUAGAUGAUAAAACAUGAAUAGUAGUUUAUGUGUGACUAAAUAUUUUUUAAUUUUUCAUAAAUUUUUUUAAAAAGAUGGACGGUCAAAUGUUGGGCACUGAUAUUCACAACUGCAUUUAUU